This 296-nucleotide ribosomal RNA is filed under the name uncultured bacterium. RNAcentral describes it as "partial 16S ribosomal RNA". It matches the Rfam family "Bacterial small subunit ribosomal RNA", at positions 58 to 353 of the family's 1533-position model. The record is from RNAcentral.
CAAGUCGAACGGCACCCCUCUCCGGAGGGAAGCGAGUGGCGAACGGCUGAGUAACACGUGGAGAACCUCGCCCCCUCCCCCGGGAUAGCCGCCCGAAAGGACGGGUAAUACCGGAUACCCCCGGGCGCCGCAUGGCGCCCGGGCUAAAGCCCCCGACGGGAGGGGAUGGCUCCGCGGCCCAUCAGGUAGACGGCGGGGUGACGGCCCACCGUGCCGACAACGGGUAGCCGGGUUGAGAGACCGACCGGCCAGAUUGGGACUGAGACACGGCCCAGACUCCUACGGGAGGCAGCAUG